CGACCAUUUAACUUUUUUCUGGGAUCGUUAUGUGCAAGAUAUUUUUUUUAUCACCAUCACCAUGUACGAUUUUUUUUUGCCAGACUUUCUUUCGCAGCAUUUUUUUUUUCAAUAGCUUAUACUAUUUAGAUUAUAGUUAACAUUGAGUUUUUUAGCUUCAUGCAUUGCUCUUAAUAAUACAUUUUGCUAUGAGUUAUAACAUUUGGUUCAGUGCCUUUUUUAAAGAUGUGCAACUGGAAAAG
Paramuricea clavata is the source of this 242-nucleotide non-coding RNA. The record is from the annotation of a GenBank genome assembly. Lineage: Eukaryota; Metazoa; Cnidaria; Anthozoa; Malacalcyonacea; Plexauridae.